Molecule: ribosomal RNA, 117 nt
Filed under: uncultured bacterium
Lineage: Bacteria
Description: partial 16S ribosomal RNA
Rfam family: Bacterial small subunit ribosomal RNA
Source: RNAcentral
CUACGGUGAAUACGUUCCCGGACCUUGUACACACCGCCCGUCAAGCCAUGGAAGCUGGGUGUACCUAAAGUCGGUAACCGUAAGGAGCCGCCUAGGGUAAAACUAGUAACUGGGGCU